AGGAAUAUAAAGCUGAUGGCCACCGCUGCAAAAACGGAUGCCCCGAGACUCCUAAUUAACCACUGCAGUAUAAUUGUGUAGACAGCGAUUGCCAUGGGGAGCAUUAACAUGUAGGGACGGUAUUGGUCCUACCUUCCAAACUCCAAUAAUAACCAAAAGUGAGCCGAGUGCGUAAAGGCCCGAUCCAGUGGUCCAAACGAUCUUCACGGUCUCCGAAACUUCUGACAAACUCGUUAUGAAGAAGUACCCGGCAAUCACACCCGAAACAAAGGAUAUGCAGGCUAUUAUAGUGACAAUAGCUCGACAAGUCGGCCGAAGACUUCUAUACGUAAAUUCGUGUUCACUCAUUUAGACUUGAUCGUAAUUUAUUUUUGUUAUACAAUAUUAGUUAACAAAUUUGUUAAUUGUCAUUGUGGGUUUUGAAAUUAAAAGAGUAUGUUUUAUGGGAAAUA
Drosophila ficusphila is the source of this 452-nucleotide long non-coding RNA. RefSeq lists it as uncharacterized. The record is from RefSeq and is a predicted model, not a curated record. The transcript has 2 exons. NCBI's taxonomy places the organism in Eukaryota, Metazoa, Arthropoda, Insecta, Diptera, Drosophilidae.